Suncus etruscus (white-toothed pygmy shrew) is the source of this 156-nucleotide small nuclear RNA. RefSeq annotates it as U1 spliceosomal RNA. NCBI's taxonomy places the organism in Eukaryota, Metazoa, Chordata, Mammalia, Eulipotyphla, Soricidae. The record is from RefSeq and is a predicted model, not a curated record. The transcript has a single exon.
UUACUUACCUGGCAGGGAAGAUACCUUGAUCUCGAAGGUGGUUUUUCCCAGGGUGAGGCUUAUCCAUUGCACUCCAGAUUUGCUGACCCCUUCACGAAUGUGGGAAACUUGACUGCAUAAUUUGUGGUAGUUGGGGACUGCCUUCACAGUUCCCUU